GGCUGGUCUGAAGGUAGUGAGUUAUUUCACUUAAUUGUUGACAGUCAGUUACAGAUUAAACUCCUUGUUCUACUACUUUUCCCCCUUCUCACUACUGCACUUGACUCGUCUUAA
Molecule: unclassified non-coding RNA, 114 nt
Organism: Prolemur simus (greater bamboo lemur)
Lineage: Eukaryota; Metazoa; Chordata; Mammalia; Primates; Lemuridae
Rfam family: Y RNA
About the family: Y RNAs are components of the Ro ribonucleoprotein particle (Ro RNP), in association with Ro60 and La proteins.
Source: Ensembl